ACAUAUAGUUUCCUUUGGCCCCUUUGAGAGAGAUUUCGGUUGCUACCCUUGGUACUUUGUAUGCUGCCAUCUUGUUUGGUCUCCUUUGUGAGACCUAUUAUAUCACCCAUCACCAACACUUUGACUGAUGACAUGGCUACUAGUUCGACCCCAUGUCUGUCCGAUUUUCUCCAUACUUGCUAUUAUCCUCCUGUCGCCUUUGUGCAUGGCUGUCUCUGCGUGAUUACUUGGGUAUUUUCUUCGUGGCUUUGAGUGAGAUUCUUGGACGAUUCUAGUGGAGCUACCUUGUGUGUUUUUGGGUCAUUGAUCUGAGCUCUGUACACUUCAUUUUCUGUGCCAAUCUUUGUGAAAUCGAAAGGAAAUGUUUAUUUUUCAUUCACGACUUGAUUCCAUUAUUAUCAUUUGAUUUGGAACUUACUUUGUGUUUGCUUGAUCACUUAAAGGUUAUAUUGACCUCCACAAAAUCGUAUCAGAGCCUUCAGUGGCUCGAUUGGUGGCUAGUUUUCAAUCCUAUCGACUAAAAAUUGGAGUUACAGCGAUCGAGGCUUGUGUAUGGUGUGCAAUUGAGGAGUAGGUCAGCUGUUUUGCCAAUAAGGGCUUGAAUUUUUAAUUAAUUUCGCAUCUCUCUUUGUUAUGAACUACAAACAGGUCUCCUUAGGUAAUUUUGUUGAAACUCCUUAAAUUACUGCAAUAGCAGGUCAUCAUGUGAGAUGACCAAAAGGAUUGCAGCCUUACUUGAUACUAGUAUUUUAGGACUAUUUCCCUAAAUUUGUGAUAUUAUCGUUUUUGUGGCUAUAUUGAUAGUUGUUCACUUUUCGUGUUGUUGCUG
RNAcentral lists this long non-coding RNA (829 nucleotides) under Olea europaea subsp. europaea. Lineage: Eukaryota; Viridiplantae; Streptophyta; Magnoliopsida; Lamiales; Oleaceae. The record is from RNAcentral.